Molecule: ribosomal RNA, 471 nt
Filed under: uncultured bacterium
Lineage: Bacteria
Description: bacterial SSU rRNA
Rfam family: Bacterial small subunit ribosomal RNA
Source: RNAcentral
AUUGAACGCUGGCGGCAUGCCUAACACAUGCAAGUCGAACGGCAGCACGGGAGCUUGCUCCUGGUGGCGAGUGGCGGACGGGUGAGUAAUGCAUAGGAAUCUGCCCAGUAGCGGGGGACAACUUGGGGGAAACUCAAGCUAAUGCCGCAUGCGCCCUACGGGGGGAAAGCGGGGGACCUUCGGGCCUCGCACUAUUGGAUGAGCCUAUGUCAGAUUAGCUUGUUGGUGGGGUAACGGCCUACCAAGGCGACGAUCUGUAGCUGGUCUGAGAGGACGAUCAGCCACACUGGGACUGAGACACGGCCCAGACUCCUACGGGAGGCAGCAGUGGGGAAUAUUGCACAAUGGGCGAAAGCCUGAUGCAGCAAUGCCGCGUGUGUGAAGAAGGCCUGCGGGUUGUAAAGCACUUUCAGUAGGGAGGAAACAGUAGCCGUUAAUAUCCGGUGCCUUGACGUUACUACAGAAGAAGCA